AUUUUUAUGUUAUUUUUUAAACAUACUAUGGGCAGCUGGUGAGGCACGCUUAUACACAGUGAUUUAAAAAGAACGGUACAAAACUGUAUAAGAACAGCUUUACUUUUGCACCAUUCUUUUUAAAAUACUCCACACAAUUUCCCUGUUUCUCUCUGUUUUAUUUUUCAUUCAUGCUCAGUAAGGGAUUCUGGAGGUGUCAAAUGUUUACAUUGCCUGUGAAGGCAAAGAUCAAUAAGAUGAGAAUCACCUUCUUUCCCACCUUAAACUUUAUUGCAUUGUUUAUUACAGAAACACACCUACAACCUGAUACUGAAAAUCUGUGUUUCCCCAGCCCUCCUUCACCAUCCUUCCAAAGCCAGUGGUGCUAGGCAGAGGGUAAAGGCAGUUUUAUAUUACAAGAAGCUCAAGGAGACAGCGGUGGACCUCUAGUGUGCUAUGUCCAAGAUGAAAACAAGUUUUAUCAGAUAGGAAUCACAAGUCAUGGCUAUGGUUGUGGCCGACCAAGGUUUCCAGGAAUUUAUUCAUUCACACCUGUUGAAAAGCACAGCCCAAGAAGGGAGAGGAAAAUACUGCAAUUGAAGAACUAGCCAUGCAACUUUCCAUCGCUGAGAAAGAUUUGGCUUAUGGUCUCCACCUCCAUAAAGGACUUCUGACAAAAGAUAGGAUGCACAUGAUGUUGAUUGUUAAGAUUGUGUUUGCUAGAAAUAUGGCACACCUGAUCAGGAAGAUUUUAAAUUGCAUCCUCUGAUGCAGUUUUGAAGAACAAGACACCAGAUAUUAGGGGUGAUAAUGUCAGUGAUGCAAGAGAAACUGGAUACAUGAUAUAUGAACUCACCAAUGGGAAGGGGAGGAAAGGGAAGCAGCUGGAGGAAUUGACCCAUGGUUCAGGUAUCUCUACACUGAUGCACAGAGCACAGUAAAUAAACAAUCAGUUCUUAAUAUAGAAAGACAAGUUACAGUAUAGGCAUUACUAAAACCUGAUGAGAUAAUUGAGGGAUAUAACGUACAGUAUUUACUAGACCCAACAGAAGGGUGGAGGGAGAAGCAGCAUUAUAUGUAAUGGAAUGUAUACAUCUGUGGAAAUCCAUGAGUAGGAUGAUGGACAGUAGAAUGACAGUACUGGGGUAAACAUUAUACCAGCGGUAAACAAUAGGAACAGUAAUAAUAAUAAUAAUAAUAAUGUUUAUUUAUAUACCGCUUUUCCAAAUUAGAUCAAA
Molecule: long non-coding RNA, 1217 nt
Organism: Sceloporus undulatus (fence lizard)
Lineage: Eukaryota; Metazoa; Chordata; Lepidosauria; Squamata; Phrynosomatidae
Exons: 4
Source: RefSeq, a predicted model, not a curated record